This 261-nucleotide ribosomal RNA is filed under the name uncultured archaeon. RNAcentral's name for it is "partial 16S ribosomal RNA". It matches the Rfam family "Archaeal small subunit ribosomal RNA", at positions 345 to 618 of the family's 1478-position model. The record is from RNAcentral.
AACCUCUGCAAUAGGCGAAAGCUUGACAGGGUUAUUCUGAGUGAUUUCCGCUAAGGAAAUCUUUUGGCACCUUGGUGCAGAAUAAGGGGUGGCAAGCUGGUGUCAGCCGCCGCGGUAAUACCAGCACCCCGAGUGGUCGGGACGAUUAUUGGGCCUAAAGCAUCCGUAGCCGGUUCUGCAAGUCUUCCGUAAAUCCACCUGCUCAACAGAUGGGCUGCGGAGGAUACUAUAGAGCUAGGAGGCGGGAGAGGCAAGCGGUAC